GGCGGUUCUUAGGUGACGCACACUAGAAUCAGGCUCCCUCCUCUCUGGUUCCGGGGUGCAUCAGUCACCUGAGAACCGCC
This is a non-coding RNA of Myotis brandtii (Brandt's bat), 80 nucleotides long. Lineage: Eukaryota; Metazoa; Chordata; Mammalia; Chiroptera; Vespertilionidae. The record is from Rfam.